GUGGAGCAUGUGGCUUAAUUUGACUCAACGCGGGGAAUCUUACUAGGUCCGGACCGAUUCUAUGAUCGUCGUACUGUGGGGUGCUACGUGAUUACUGGAUGAGUGGUGCAUGGCCGUUCUUAGUUCGUGGUGUCAGUUGUCUACUUAAUUGUCAUUGGUUCUCGUAUCUUACGGUACAGAACUGAUAACGAACGAGAUCGAGGCCCGUCGUAGGUUAUUAUUGUGUGCGACGUUAACUACGGGGAUCGCGUAAUACUCCACGGUACGAUCGAAAGACUCGGCAAUAACAGGUCUGUGAUGCCCUCAGAUGUUCUAGGCUGCACACGUGCUACAUUGUGGUUUCGCGUAGUGUGUGUGUGCAUAGAACUGAUAAGAUCCCCCGCACCGAGUCUCAAUUAACUACGUGGUUGGACUCACCGUUGUAAUUAUUCGGUAUACUAA
This 441-nucleotide ribosomal RNA is filed under the name Amphistegina lobifera. RNAcentral's name for it is "SSU rRNA". It matches the Rfam family "Eukaryotic small subunit ribosomal RNA", at positions 1176 to 1607 of the family's 1831-position model. The record is from RNAcentral. Lineage: Eukaryota; Foraminifera; Rotaliida; Amphisteginidae.